ACUCCAUUGCACAAUGCCGCCAGUAUAGGUACACUCGAUGUGUGUCAAGCGCUGCUCGCUGCAGGGGCGGACUGCAACAUCAAGAAUGAGGAUGGCGUCACACCGCUGGACAGAGCGAGAUUCUGGAAACGUGAUGCGGUUGUAGAGCUAUUGAAGAAGGCCAAUACAAAGACAUCAUGAUACCUUUCCUAAGUGUAAAGUGACUAUGCACACACUGCGGGUCAUUUCCUGCCAGAUGUAGCAACAUGGCAGCUAUCUUUCUCUGGCGGAUCCAGAGCUUUAAUCGUCACAUAUACAUGACUUUGUAUGUAUUUGAGCAAUGGGCAGGUAGGACUGCGGUGUUGUCUUGCUGUACCUGCCCACAAUGCCAGUGCAUGAUACCAUACAUUUCUAGACAUGCUAGCUUCCAUUUCCUCUUCUCUUCCAAGUAUCUUUUGCAGAUCGUCUUGCACUCCAUGCAGAUCCUUACUAGAAGUUACAAUGUUUGAAUAGAAAAUUGUACAAUGUCGUCACAGUAGUGCUUUGCUAGCAUUAUAAUUAUUAGAAUCAACUGACAUACUAUCGUCAGUGGAUGUAUUGUCAACACGUUUCUCCAUUAUUUUAAUUUUAUUUUUUAUCAAUUUGUCGUUUCAAGUCGUUUGACUAGACUAUUCCGUGUAUUAGCGGCCUUCGUGACUUCCAUUGGAAACAGCCAUCAUUUUUCCCGCAAUCGGUAUGGUAACAAAAACUGAUACCAGAGAGUAAUAAAAUACCGAUAUUUUACUACUCCCUGCUUGAUGCCUAUUGUUUGUAGUAGUGUGUUAUACUUCAAGCACGUUUUCUACUUGCCUGCAGCAGUAUUUAACAAAGUGGUAUUGUUUGGCAAGUUCGGUAUUUACACUGACUUGUUCGGAUGUACAUGUGCAUCCAUGUAUAUCAACUGUCAACCUUCUUGCUGUGAAUACGUUCUGCAAUGCUCACUACAUGGAUUAUAUUGAUGCCUCUGCACCACAUAUUGUAGCUUUCACUGAUUUGUACUUGCAGUAAUUGCUAUGAUUGGUGAUUUCUUGAGUCAA
Sycon ciliatum is the source of this 1055-nucleotide long non-coding RNA. RefSeq lists it as uncharacterized. The transcript has 2 exons. Lineage: Eukaryota; Metazoa; Porifera; Calcarea; Leucosolenida; Sycettidae. The record is from RefSeq and is a predicted model, not a curated record.